RNAcentral lists this ribosomal RNA (468 nucleotides) under uncultured bacterium. Its description in RNAcentral is "partial 16S ribosomal RNA". It matches the Rfam family "Bacterial small subunit ribosomal RNA", at positions 28 to 507 of the family's 1533-position model. The record is from RNAcentral.
GACGAACGCUGGCGGCGUGCUUAACACAUGCAAGUCGAACGGAAAGGCCCUGCUUUUGUGGGGUGCUCGAGUGGCGAACGGGUGAGUAACACGUGAGUAACCUGCCCUUGACUUUGGGAUAACUUCAGGAAACUGGGGCUAAUACCGGAUAGGAGCACCUGCUGCAUGGUGGGGGUUGGAAAGUUUCGGCGGUUGGGGAUGGACUCGCGGCUUAUCAGCUUGUUGGUGGGGUAGUGGCUUACCAAGGCUUUGACGGGUAGCCGGCCUGAGAGGGUGACCGGCCACAUUGGGACUGAGAUGCGGCCCAGACUCCUACGGGAGGCAGCAGUGGGGAAUAUUGCACAAUGGGCGGAAGCCUGAUGCAGCAACGCCGCGUGCGGGAUGACGGCCUUCGGGUUGUAAACCGCUUUCGCCUGUGACGAAGCGUGAGUGACGGUAAUGGGUAAAGAAGCACCGGCUAACUACGUG